This 542-nucleotide ribosomal RNA is filed under the name uncultured Chitinophagaceae bacterium. RNAcentral's name for it is "bacterial SSU rRNA". It matches the Rfam family "Bacterial small subunit ribosomal RNA", at positions 355 to 897 of the family's 1533-position model. Lineage: Bacteria; Pseudomonadati; Bacteroidota; Chitinophagia; Chitinophagales; Chitinophagaceae. The record is from RNAcentral.
UAAGGAAUAUUGGUCAAUGGACGCAAGUCUGAACCAGCCAUGCCGCGUGGAGGAUGAAGGUCCUCUGGAUUGUAAACUUCUUUUAUCUGGGAAGAAAUCCAUUUUUUCUAAAAUGGUUGACGGUACCAGAUGAAUAAGCACCGGCUAACUCCGUGCCAGCAGCCGCGGUAAUACGGAGGGUGCAAGCGUUAUCCGGAUUCACUGGGUUUAAAGGGUGCGUAGGUGGGCAAGUAAGUCAGUGGUGAAAUCUCCGGGCUUAACCCGGAAACUGCCAUUGAUACUAUUUGUCUUGAAUACUGUGGAGGUCAGCGGAAUAUGUCAUGUAGCGGUGAAAUGCUUAGAUAUGACAUAGAACACCAAUUGCGAAGGCAGCUGGCUACACAAAUAUUGACACUGAGGCACGAAAGCGUGGGGAUCAAACAGGAUUAGAUACCCUGGUAGUCCACGCCCUAAACUAUGGAUACUCGACAUUUGCGAUAAACUGCAAGUGUCUGAGCGAAAGCAUUAAGUAUCCCACCUGGGAAGUACGAUCGCAAGAUUGA